ACUUUUAAAGGACAGAAGUAAUCCACUGGUUUUAGGAACCAUCCACCUUGGUGCAAUUCCAAGUAAAAGUA
This 71-nucleotide transfer RNA is filed under the name Testudo kleinmanni (Egyptian tortoise). RNAcentral's name for it is "tRNA-Leu". It matches the Rfam family "tRNA". From Rfam's summary of the family: Transfer RNA (tRNA) molecules are approximately 80 nucleotides in length. Their secondary structure includes four short double-helical elements and three loops (D, anti-codon, and T loops). Lineage: Eukaryota; Metazoa; Chordata; Testudines; Testudinidae. The record is from RNAcentral.